Molecule: ribosomal RNA, 561 nt
Filed under: Triticum aestivum (bread wheat)
Lineage: Eukaryota; Viridiplantae; Streptophyta; Magnoliopsida; Poales; Poaceae
Description: partial small subunit ribosomal RNA
Source: RNAcentral
AUGGUGUGGAAAGCACCUAUCCCGCUAAAGAUCAAGAUUUUCCUUUGGCAACUAUUUCAAAAUGCCAUCCUUACUCGUGAUAACAUGCGUGCCAGAAAAUGGCCUGGAAAUCCCAGUUGCUCCUUCUGUACUAAUGUUGAAACGGCAAACCAUUUGUUUUUCUCGUGCUCGCUCGCUCGCUCAGUUUGGGGGACGCUGGGUAUGACAGCAGGAGCAUCUUGCUGCCCUCGAUCCCUUUGGCAAAGCUUUGCCUGGCUUUAUAAAUUCUUUCCGGGUGGGAAGCAUUUAUAUAUGAUGAUUAUUGUUGCGAUAUGUUGGGGGAUUUGGAUUCUCCGUAAUAAAGUUACGUUUGAUAAGCAUGUCGUUCGAUCCCCUCUAGAGGCUGUUUUCACGGCAUGCUCUUUUAUGAUGUAUUGGGCAGGUUUGCUGAAGGAAGAGGACAGGGUGAAGCUCCAGGCAGGUGUGAAGAGAUUGGCACAUGCUGCUGCGGCACUGACGGACAGAUCCUUCCCUCGAGACAGGCUGCUCUUGAGAGACAGAGAUGGUUUGCAGAUUGGCUAG